GCGGGUAUGGCGGAAUGGUAGACGCUGCAGACUUAAAAUCUGUUGACUUUAUGUCGUGCUGGUUCAAGUCCAGUUAUCCGCACCA
RNAcentral lists this transfer RNA (85 nucleotides) under Alphaproteobacteria bacterium. RNAcentral's name for it is "tRNA-Leu". It matches the Rfam family "tRNA". Rfam says of the family: Transfer RNA (tRNA) molecules are approximately 80 nucleotides in length. Their secondary structure includes four short double-helical elements and three loops (D, anti-codon, and T loops). Further hydrogen bonds mediate the characteristic L-shaped molecular structure. tRNAs have two regions of fundamental functional importance: the anti-codon, which is responsible for specific mRNA codon recognition, and the 3' end, to which the tRNAs corresponding amino acid is attached (by aminoacyl-tRNA synthetases). tRNAs cope with the degeneracy of the genetic code in two manners: having more than one tRNA (with a specific anti-codon) for a particular amino acid; and 'wobble' base-pairing, i.e. permitting non-standard base-pairing at the 3rd anti-codon position. The record is from RNAcentral. Lineage: Bacteria; Pseudomonadati; Pseudomonadota; Alphaproteobacteria.